UACGAAGGGUGCAAACGUUGCUCGGAAUUAUUGGGCGUAAAGCGCACGUAGGCGGCUUGGCAAGUCGGAUGUGAAAUCCCUCGGCUCAACCAAGGAAGUGCAUCCGAAACUGCCGAGCUUGAGUACUUAAGAGGAUCGCGGAAUUCCCGGUGUAGAGGUGAAAUUCGUAGAUAUCGGGAGGAACACCGGUGGCGAAGGCGGCGACCUGGGUCGAGACUGACGCUGAGGCGCGAAAGCGUGGGGAGCAAACAGG
This 253-nucleotide ribosomal RNA is filed under the name uncultured bacterium. RNAcentral's name for it is "partial 16S ribosomal RNA". It matches the Rfam family "Bacterial small subunit ribosomal RNA", at positions 524 to 776 of the family's 1533-position model. The record is from RNAcentral.